GAUGAACGCUAGCUACAGGCUUAACACAUGCAAGUCGAGGGGUAACGAGAGGAAAGCUUGCUUUCCUUGUCGACGACCGGCGCACGGGUGAGUAACGCGUAUCCAACCUGCCCCCAACUAGGGAAUAACCUUGCGAAAGUAAGACUAAUACCCUAUAAUUUCCUCAGAUGUCAUCUGACGAGGAAUAAAGAUUUAUCGGUUGUGGAUGGGGAUGCGUCUGAUUAGCUUGUUGGCGGGGUAACGGCCCACCAAGGCAACGAUCAGUAGGGGUUCUGGGAGGAAGGUCCCCCACAUUGGAACUGAGACACAGUCCAAACUCCUACGGGAGGCAGCAGUGAGGAAUAUUGGUCAAUGGGCGGAAGCCUGAACCAGCCAAGUAGCGUGCAGGAUGACGGCCCUAUGGGUUGUAAACUGCUUUUAUACAGGAAUAAAGUUAGCCACGUGUGGUUAUUUGUAGGUACUGUAUGAAUAAGGACCGGCUAAUUCCGUGCCAGCCGCCGCAGUAA
Molecule: ribosomal RNA, 506 nt
Filed under: uncultured bacterium
Lineage: Bacteria
Description: partial 16S ribosomal RNA
Rfam family: Bacterial small subunit ribosomal RNA
Source: RNAcentral